RNAcentral lists this ribosomal RNA (373 nucleotides) under Meccus pallidipennis. Its description in RNAcentral is "partial large subunit ribosomal RNA". Lineage: Eukaryota; Metazoa; Arthropoda; Insecta; Hemiptera; Reduviidae. The record is from RNAcentral.
UCUUUUGUAUAUUUAUUUAAGUCUGACCUGCCCAAUGAGGAAUUCAAUGGCCGCAGUAUUUUAACUGUGCUAAGGUAGCAUAAUCAUUUGUCUUUUAAUUGAGGGCUGGAAUGAAAGGUUGGACGAGAUAUAGACUUUCUUUAAUUUAAUUUUAAGAAUUUAAUUUUUGAGUUAAAAAGCUUAAAUUUGUUUGUUGGACGAGAAGACCCUAUAGAUCUUUAUAAUUUUAUAUUUUAAUAAUUUGGUGGUUAUGUUUAUUAUAAGUAGAAUAAUUAUUUGGUUGGGGUGACUGUAGAAUUUUAUUAACUUCUAUUGUUUAGAUUUCAUUAAUUGGUGUUUUUUUGAUCCAUAUUUUUAUGAUUAAAAGAUUAAU